AUUGAACGCUGGCGGCAGGCCUAACACAUGCAAGUCGAGCGGAUGAGGGCCGCUUGCUCCUGGAUUCAGCGGAGGGCGGGUGAGUAACGCCUAGGAACUUGCCUGGUCGUGGGGGAUACCGUCCGGAAACGGGCGCUAACACCGCAUACGUCCCGUGGGAGAAAGUGGGGGUUCUUCGGACUCCACGCUAUCAGAUGAGCCUAGGUCGGAUUAGCUAGUUGGUGGGGUAAAGGCCUACCAAGGCGACGAUGCGUAACUGGUCUGAGAGGGGGAUCAGUCACACUGGAACUGAGAGGCGGUCCAGACACCUACAGGAGGCAGAAGUUGCGAAUAGAGGACGAAGGGCGAAAUCCUGAUCAAGCCGUGCCGGGUGGAUGAAGAAGGUCUUCGUAUGGGAUAGCAGCUUUAGUGGGGAGGACGGGUAGUAAGAGGAUACCAUGCUGUGGUGACGGUACCAACAGAAGAAGCACCGGCUAACUACGUG
This 484-nucleotide ribosomal RNA is filed under the name uncultured bacterium. RNAcentral describes it as "partial 16S ribosomal RNA". It matches the Rfam family "Bacterial small subunit ribosomal RNA", at positions 29 to 507 of the family's 1533-position model. The record is from RNAcentral.